Molecule: ribosomal RNA, 246 nt
Filed under: uncultured bacterium
Lineage: Bacteria
Description: partial 16S ribosomal RNA
Rfam family: Bacterial small subunit ribosomal RNA
Source: RNAcentral
CAGGGACGAAAAAAAUGACGGUACCUGCAGAGGAAGCAUCGGCUAACUACGUGCCAGCAGCCGCGGUAAGACGUAGGAUGCGAGCGUUGUCCGGAUUUAUUGGGCGUAAAGAGUUCGUAGGUGGUUUGUUAAGUCUGAUGUAAAAGACUGGGGCUCAACCUCGGGACUGCAUUGGAUACUGGCAGACUUGAGUGCAGUAGAGGCAAGCGGAAUUCCAGGUGUAGCGGUGAAAUGCGUAGAUAUCUG